GCAAACUUGGUCAUUUAGAGGAAGUAAAAGUCGUAACAAGGUUUCCGUAGGUGAACCUGCGGAAGGAUCAUUAAAGAUUUCGACCUUCGGGUCAAUCUCUCUUCAGCUGUGCGCUUAGGCUGCACGCUGUUGAACCUCCCACACCUGUGCACCAUUCGGUUGCGAUCUAGGUCGCUUCCGCUUUUACACAUACAACUACAGUCCAGAAUGUCUAAUACAAUAACAAAUAACAACUUUCAACAACGGAUCUCUUGGCUCUCGCAUCGAUGAAGAACGCAGC
This 280-nucleotide unclassified non-coding RNA is filed under the name uncultured fungus. Its description in RNAcentral is "partial contains small subunit ribosomal RNA, internal transcribed spacer 1, and 5.8S ribosomal RNA". The stretch from base 1 to 73 matches the Rfam family "Eukaryotic small subunit ribosomal RNA", at positions 1759 to 1831 of the family's 1831-position model. The record is from RNAcentral. Lineage: Eukaryota; Fungi.